Molecule: non-coding RNA, 855 nt
Organism: Misgurnus anguillicaudatus (oriental weatherfish)
Lineage: Eukaryota; Metazoa; Chordata; Actinopteri; Cypriniformes; Cobitidae
Source: RefSeq, a predicted model, not a curated record
CUGACAUUUCCGGCCAAGUCGCACGGAAGCUCACAUUAUAAAACAUUAUUUUAAGCUUACCGUUGUCAAUCGAAGUAAGUCUAAGCUGGUGCUCAGCUGGUUUGGUGUAAAAACCAGGUGACCAAAAACCCUUCCGAAACCAGCCAUCAAACAACCUGACCAAGUAGGGAGACCAGCAAACCAGCUAAGUGUGAUCUAUGCUGUUUUUCAGUGUGAAAUGACCUAUGGUCUCUCCUGCAGCUCUCUGGUUUGGAAGCCGAGAGACAGACCACAUGUGUGCUGGGAAAGUGAGUGAAAGAGACGAGAAUGAGAAGUAGGCGAGAAGGGGUCAGUUCUGCUAGAACAAUUAUCUUGUUCUCAAAACCUACUAUUUAAUGGAAAUGUUUAAAACCGGCCAAACUACACGACAGCACCUUGGUAUGAGCUCUGGUACAGAUCUUCUCUCGCUCACAUCCUCUCACUUUCUCAUUUGAUUGGACACUUUAAUCAAAAGGUUGUUUUGUAAGAAGUGGCCAUUAGUUUUAGAUGUGCAACAAAAGAGAAACUCCAUUAAAAUUCCUUUCACGCAUUCCUUCUUUUUCUCUCUCGUUUUAUUCGGCCCAUUUUCCCUAUCUGUGGACCAACACUGAGGUCACCUUCAAGCUCACCCUAACAGUAGGAGCCUAUAGAGAUGAAUACAGCUGGGAAUUCUGUUGCCGACUUCAUAUUGAGUCUUUUACUUUGAUCCGUGAACCAUAAACAGAUGUUAUGUGUUGUAGUAGUGAUGUUAUUAUACAAGCCACACUGUAUAGUCGUGUGCUUUUUAAAGCUUUUCUGGGUCACUUUUGCAUUGAGAUUGAACUUUUUACAUUCAGG